GUAGGUGAACCUGCGGAAGGAUCAUUAGAGUAAGAAGUGUGAGUGUAGGCUUUGGUCGGAGGGAACCGGAAGCCCUAGGUUUCGCCGCUCAGUCGCGAUGAACACGGGAUUUUUGUGCCGAUGCCGGAUGUGAAAAGGGAUAUCCUCUCUCGCGAGACCUGCCCGUUAACUGCUAAGGCACGAGCGAUCGUAGGGCCUCUAAUCC
This 205-nucleotide unclassified non-coding RNA is filed under the name plant metagenome. RNAcentral's name for it is "partial contains small subunit ribosomal RNA, internal transcribed spacer 1, and 5.8S ribosomal RNA". The record is from RNAcentral.